Molecule: long non-coding RNA, 263 nt
Filed under: Lathyrus oleraceus (garden pea)
Lineage: Eukaryota; Viridiplantae; Streptophyta; Magnoliopsida; Fabales; Fabaceae
Description: Pisum sativum (pea) long non-coding RNA (PSAT_LNC029565)
Source: RNAcentral
UGUUUCUGAGAGGAAGAUAGCACCACCAGCAAAGAAGGCCAGACUUGACGGAGCUUCUGGAAGCGGAUCUUCAGCUCCUCUGCAAAUCUCAACUGGUAAGUCUGUUCCUCCUGUCUCCUCUAAUCUUCAGAUGGCUUCCUCUAACCCUCUCUCCUCUCAACCCAUUUAUACUACAUCUGAAAUCCCACCCUCAAUCACCAGAACCUCCCAACCUACACCAGUUCUAAACAUAGCCAGAACCUUCAUUCCUCCCUCUAUACCUG